RNAcentral lists this transfer RNA (86 nucleotides) under Phenylobacterium sp. RNAcentral describes it as "tRNA-Leu". It matches the Rfam family "tRNA". From Rfam's summary of the family: Transfer RNA (tRNA) molecules are approximately 80 nucleotides in length. Their secondary structure includes four short double-helical elements and three loops (D, anti-codon, and T loops). The record is from RNAcentral. Lineage: Bacteria; Pseudomonadati; Pseudomonadota; Alphaproteobacteria; Caulobacterales; Caulobacteraceae.
GCCCCAGUGGCGAAAUGGUAGACGCGGCAGACUCAAAAUCUGUUGUUCGAAAGGACGUGUUGGUUCGAGUCCGACCUGGGGCACCA